This 470-nucleotide ribosomal RNA is filed under the name uncultured bacterium. Its description in RNAcentral is "partial 16S ribosomal RNA". It matches the Rfam family "Bacterial small subunit ribosomal RNA", at positions 28 to 507 of the family's 1533-position model. The record is from RNAcentral.
GACGAACGCUGGCGGCGUGCUUAACACAUGCAAGUCGAACGGUGAACGAGGGAGCUUGCUCCCUCCGGAUCAGUGGCGAACGGGUGAGUAACACGUGAGCAAUCUGCCCCGAACUCUGGGAUAAGCGUUGGAAACGACGUCUAAUACCGGAUACGACGCGGGAGGGCAUCCUCUCCGCGUGGAAAGAACUUCGGUUCGGGAUGGGCUCGCGGCCUAUCAGCUUGUUGGUGAGGUAACGGCUCACCAAGGCGACGACGGGUAGCCGGCCUGAGAGGGUGACCGGCCACAAUGGGACUGAGGGACGGCCCAGACUCCUACGGGGGGCAGCAGUGGGGAAUAUUGCACAAUGGGCGCAAGCCUGAUGCAGCAACGCCGCGUGAGGGACGACGGCCUUCGGGUUGUAAACCUCUUUUAGCAGGGAAGAAGCGAAAGUGACGGUACCUGCAGAAAAAGCACCGGCUAACUACGUG